GACGAACGCUGGCGGCGUGCUUAACACAUGCAAGUCGAACGAAGAGCGACGGAAGCUUGCUUCUAUCAAUCUUAGUGGCGAACGGGUGAGUAACGCGUAAUCAACCUGCCCUUCAGAGGGGGACAACAGUUGGAAACGACUGCUAAUACCGCAUACGAUCUAAUCUCGGCAUCGAGGAUGGAUGAAAGGUGGCCUCUACAUGUAAGCUAUCACUGAAGGAGGGGAUUGCGUCUGAUUAGCUAGUUGGAGGGGUAACGGCCCACCAAGGCGAUGAUCAGUAGCCGGUCUGAGAGGAUGAACGGCCACAUUGGGGCUGAGACACGGCCCAGACUCCUACGGGAGGCAGCAGUGGGGAAUCUUCCGCAAUGGACGAAAGUCUGACGGAGCAACGCCGCGUGAGUGAUGACGGCCUUCGGGUUGUAAAGCUCUGUUAAUCGGGACGAAAGGCCUUCUUGCGGAUAGUGAGAAGGAUUGACGGUACCGGAAUAGAAAGCCACGGCUAACUACGUG
Molecule: ribosomal RNA, 510 nt
Filed under: uncultured bacterium
Lineage: Bacteria
Description: partial 16S ribosomal RNA
Rfam family: Bacterial small subunit ribosomal RNA
Source: RNAcentral